Molecule: ribosomal RNA, 255 nt
Filed under: uncultured bacterium
Lineage: Bacteria
Description: partial 16S ribosomal RNA
Rfam family: Bacterial small subunit ribosomal RNA
Source: RNAcentral
UACGAAGGGGGCUAGCGUUGCUCGGAAUCACUGGGCGUAAAGGGUGCGUAGGCGGGUCUUUAAGUCAGAGGUGAAAUCCUAGGAGCUCAACUCCAGAACUGCCUUUGAUACUGGCGAUCUCGAGUCCGGAAGAGGUGAGUGGAACUCCUAGUGUAGAGGUGGAAUUCGUAGAUAUUAGGAAGAACACCAGUGGCGAAGGCGGCUUGCCAGAACGCGCUCGACGGUGAGGGAUGAAAGCUGGGGGGAGCAAACCGG